GCGACCUUGGUGGAAUGGUAGACACGCUACUUUGAGGUGGUAGUGCCGUUACGGUGUGCGAGUUCAAGUCUCGUGGGUCGCACCA
Molecule: transfer RNA, 85 nt
Filed under: Campylobacter anatolicus
Lineage: Bacteria; Pseudomonadati; Campylobacterota; Epsilonproteobacteria; Campylobacterales; Campylobacteraceae
Description: Campylobacter sp. faydin G-140 tRNA-Leu
Rfam family: tRNA
About the family: Transfer RNA (tRNA) molecules are approximately 80 nucleotides in length.
Source: RNAcentral